Molecule: long non-coding RNA, 4064 nt
Filed under: Sinocyclocheilus anshuiensis
Lineage: Eukaryota; Metazoa; Chordata; Actinopteri; Cypriniformes; Cyprinidae
Description: lncRNA (ENSSANG00000038328.1)
Source: RNAcentral
AUGUCUGGAAGCAUGCUGGAGACUGUCCUCAAACACUGGGACUCCCGUGGGAGCUUGGAAUGCAACGUUCAUCUCAACUUCUCCAGGCCUGUGUACACAGUGCAAACACGGGAGGCAGGCUUCUUUGGUCUGCUUAAUGCUGUCCCUGUGGAGGUCAGGAGGUUUAUUCUGGCCCAUAGCCAGCAAACCAACAGCCAUUUUGGGCCCCUAGAUACAGACCAAGGAAACAUCAAAGACAAAGAGGAAGAUUGGGACUCUCAUUGGUCCAGUAAAUCAUCAGUGUUCGGUACAUCCGAUAUGAGGCCUGGAGGAGUCUUGAACCCAACAGCAUGUCUAUGUCUGGAAGACAUUCUUCUUUUUACCGUGACCCAACAGCACUAUCCUCAGUAUGAUGUAUUAUUGGCACAGGACCAAGAACUGGCACGAUCUGCCCACUGCCUUUUUUCCAUAAGUCUCCAUGAGCCUGGGGUGUACGCCUUCAAACUCAGCAGCCACCAACAUAGGCACAUGUAUGUGAGGGUAGUGCCUGCAGGCGGAGAGUGUUAUGACACUGGACCCUUCUUCCCUUCAGACCCACAUCAUUUGACUCGCAUGGGCAUCGCACAGAGGCGCCAACUGCUGCUCCGCCCCGAUUGGCUGAUGAUCGGUGGGCUUUUAGUUGGAGCUGUGGUAAUCCUGUGCAUCACAAUAUUGAUCCUGUUCAGGGAGUACGGUUGGCCUGAGAAACUGCCAGCUCAGGCCAGGUACCGUGAUCUGCAGCUCAGGUACAACAUGGACGACUAUUCAUCGAAGGGCUCCAGAGUGGUGUCUGUGAAAAAAACACAUCGAAACCUGCAGGUGGGGUUGACUGAGGAUUCAGUACAGAGAGGUGAAACAGCUCUAUCAGGUGGUGCUGGGGAAGCUGAGAGAGCUCCACCCUGGCUGGAGGAUGUUUGGAGGGAAAACCGAAGGUCUGGAGAGGCAGGUGCAGCAGGAGAUGGUGUGACGGAGAGCACUGGGCAAUCAGCUGACAAAGCUACUGGACAGCCAGCUGCAGAUCCUGCGGGUGGAGAUGAGAGCGCAGCGGGCCAUGCAGAAGACCUUCAGUGCGUGACUGAGAGAGAGCGUGAGGCUUCUGAGACUGUUGGCUGAGGGUCAGACCUCGCUCUGGGUUAAACACAUCAAGCAACAGUAUGGAGAGGCAGAUAUGUAUCUGUUUUAUCUCCGCUUGCUUAUUCAAGUGUAUGUGUGUGUUUGAAACUUGGUGACACACUUAAAGAAAAAUUCUAAACCACAGAAAAGUGGUUCAUAACUACAUUAAUGCUGUCAAUAUUAUCAAAUUAAACAUUCAAUCUUGAAUAAUUAAUCAAAUGAUUAAUUAAUCACACUUAAUCACAUAUAUAUUAUAUAUACAAAAGCCUCCAAAUGAAGACAUUGCAUUAUUGUGCCAGAAAAAUGCAUUGAAUGGAUAUAACAAAAAAGUGAAUGUAGAAGGCAGUAUACAAUAAAGUUUUUUUUUUUUUUAAGAAAUUAGCACUUCAGCAAGGAGACAUUUAAUUAAUCAAAAGUGACAGUAAAGACAUUUAUAAUGUUAUUUAUAAGGUUCAUAUGUCAAAUAAAUGCUGUUCUUUUGAGCUCUAUUCAUCAAAGAAUCAUGAACAAAUGAUCAUAGUUCCAUACAAAUAUUAAGCAGCAAAAACAUUGUUUUCAGCAUUGAUAACAAUAAGCCAUGUUUACUGAGCAUCAAAUCAGCAUAUUAGAAUGAUUUCUAAAGGACUGUGACAAAUGUAGCCUGGAGUAAUGAUGCUGAAAAUUCAGCUUUGCCAUCACUGAAAAGAUUACAUUAUAAAAUAAAUAAAUUCUAAUAGAAAGCAGGUAUUUUACAUUGCAAAAAUACUUCACAGUAUUGCUGUUUUUACUAUACUUUUUAAUCAAAUAAAUGCACAUGCUGAGAGAUUUCUAAGAGACUUCAUUCAAAAACAUUUAAAAAUCUUACCAACCCCAAGCAUUUGAAUGGUGGUGCUUUUUUAUUAUUAUUAUUUCAUAUCAUUGAAGUCUAUCACUGGCCUGCAGAUCACUGUGAUUUUUACAAUUUACUGUUUUACAAUUAAGUUGUCGAUCUGUCCGAGGUAGGCUAUUCACAUAGGAUGGAUUAUUUUAUUUCAGCUGUCAUAUUUUUAAAAUGUACACAUCCAGGCAGGACCCCUCAAAGGGCUCAAAUUAACCUGUUGUCAUUUAUAUCAGUGUUAACUAAAAGCAUUAGAAUGUUAUUGUGUGUCUUCAUUUAGAUAGCUAAGUGUGUGAAUGUGUGUACUCAAAAUGGUUUCUGAAUGUCAAAAUUGUCAAGGUUCUCAAUGACUGUAUUGUAAUUAUUGGUAGAAAAACAUAGUUUGUAUAACUGAGAAUCUCUUAGUAUCAUCUUCGUCCCAGCCCUCUUAUCGCAUUUCCAGAUCCAUAAUCACAAAGGAAGUGAGUAGCUUAAAGCUUUGUUCAGAGUGCACUCAAUAGUGAUUUAUUUUCACAUCCGAUCUUUAGGAUUGACAGUCUAGUGGGUGCUGUGAUGAAACUGAAUCUGUUUGUUUAGGAUGUGCUGUAUAUCCAAUAUAUCUGCACGGCUGCAGUAAUAUUCAUGCAUUAGCAUAAUAUGAAGAGAGUUAAAAGAAUGUAGGUUUCAUUGUGGAAAAAGAGGAGGGGAAAACUAGACUAGACAUGACUGUAUGAUGUCAGUGCUGAACUCAUGAGGCACAUCAGAUAACAUAAGCAGAGGCAUCAGCAAGGUGUCCUUGAUGCCCAGGAAGGGCACGACACAGCCAGGCCACAGUAAAACCAACGUCUGCCUGACUUCGUGCCUCUGGAUCUACCCAGCCUGCCCUUCACCUCCCUCAGUACCUCCCUCUGAUUACACACUUCUAAGCCCAAAUCCUCCACUCAUCCCAAUGUGUUGACAUUCCCUAACAUUAGUUUUUGUCAAAAUAUCAUAGUAAACCCAUUAUAAAUUAUUUUUCCUUAAAAAAAAAAAAACUUUAAAGUGUAUAAAUUGUUUCAUUAUCAUUGUUAUUUAAAUGUUAUGUUAAUCUAUGAUUCAUAAGCUACUGUAUAUGUUGUGCACUGCAGUGUUCUGGAGCGAGUGGCUGUGCUGUCUGAUGAGAUGACUGAGAUGGUAUCAGUGGAGAGCCAAAGGCUGGGGGCCUGGGUUGUGCUUAAAGAGCGCACUGGAGCACAUCUAUUGUGCCCUGCUACUGGAUCGGUCCUCAGUAGGGAAGACGUCAUCGGUGAGACCUUUUAAAUAAUAUGUCUGAGUCGUUUACAGAUAUUAACCAUGCAAUUCAGACCUAAUGCUAUUUACAGUCAGUUACUGUGCAAUCAUGUCCCCUAGUGGAAUAUAAUAGAAAAUAGCCAUAAGACUUGAAAAGUCUUGCACCACUAGGUGGAGGUAUUUUACAACAUUGCCCACGUUUUGCUGGUCAAAUCCUGACAAAUAGCUUCUGAGGCUCAACUUGGCAUGUCUGUGGCAUGACUGAUUGAUUAAAGUCUGCGGAAACACAGAAAGAUUUCACUCUUUUUCCCUCCGCAGCUCCUGAUGGAGCUGUUAGAGCUUGUGAUGCUGUUCAUGUUAGACCCCCCCCACACAGGCCUAAUUCAACCCAACUCUAACGCCCAUAUGUUACUGGCCAGUGGACACAGCAUGCCAGUGCCCCCGGACUUCUUCCUGCACCCCCAGACUGGCAAGCUACUGCCUGUGGCUGGAAACGUGGGCUUUGAUCCUGCUUCCUCCACCCUUGUCUUUACAGCCCAUGCUUGUGUGGAUGAGUCACUCGGGUGCUAGUUAGUACAUCUAAAUGAAUAUUCUAAGUUCAGUACAAGUUAAGCUCAAUUGACAGCACAUGUGGCUUAAUGUUGAUUACAGCAAAAAAGAAAAAAGACUCAAGAAAAAAAAGAAUGGAUGUUACGAUGAGGUGCGUAGAAUAUAAGUACAAGGGGCCAGUUUUUGAAGGAUGUACAGUUUUUUAUUUUAAAAGUACUUGCAUUAUUUUUUUGCUAAACUUGUGUAGUAGUCUAUAUGAGCUGUAGAGUUAUUCCCGCCA